CUGGAAUUUACAGAGACGUGCCCCGUGCCAGCACUCAGCUCUCUGAGAAGCCACGCAUCUUCCAUGCUCUGUGGGAAUGAGCAUGGGGCCAGGCACCUUCCUGGGACUCUGAAACUACGUGGGAGAGAUAUCUGAUGCUGCAUCAGUUAUGGGAGAAGAGCACUACUUGCUUAGAAAGACAGGUACAGUCACCUCCACCACUCCUUUGGUUCUGCAUUCCAGACGUCCUUGUUCUAUUCCAAGAAUCCCACUGCAAGACGCACAGAUGACCUGCAAGAACAAGGAAGAUUUUCACCAAGGGUUCAAGCAUCUGGCUAUGGCAGGGUUUCCCAUGGCUGACCAGAAAUCUAAUUCAAAGUGACAAGAACAAGGGCUAUCCUCAUGACUGGAUGAAACCUUCUUUCCCACCCACACCUUCACAAGACUUUCCUCAAACCUCCCUUACACUAGAAGCCAGGCAGUUUAGCUAAACACAAGGUCUCCUCUGCAGUUGUCUUUGUUGUUGAAGGUACAACCCAAACCUCCACAACUGAGGGGGUCCACCAUAUCUUCUGGGCUAGUG
Molecule: long non-coding RNA, 562 nt
Organism: Oxyura jamaicensis (ruddy duck)
Lineage: Eukaryota; Metazoa; Chordata; Aves; Anseriformes; Anatidae
Exons: 5
Source: RefSeq, a predicted model, not a curated record